UACGUAGGGUGCAAGCGUUGUCCGGAAGUAUUGGGCGUAAAGAGCUCGUAGGCGGUUCGUCGCGUCGGCUGUGAAAACCCGGAGCUCAACUCCGGGCCUGCAGUCGAUACGGGCGGACUUGAGUGUUGCAGGGGAGACUGGAAUUCCUGGUGUAGCGGUGAAAUGCGCAGAUAUCAGGAGGAACACCGGUGGCGAAGGCGGUUCUCUGGGCAUGUCCUGACGCUGAGGAGCGAAAGUGUGGGGAGCGAACAGG
RNAcentral lists this ribosomal RNA (253 nucleotides) under uncultured bacterium. Its description in RNAcentral is "partial 16S ribosomal RNA". It matches the Rfam family "Bacterial small subunit ribosomal RNA", at positions 524 to 776 of the family's 1533-position model. The record is from RNAcentral.